UACAGAGGGUGCGAGCGUUAAUCGGAAUUACUGGGCGUAAAGGGCGCGUAGGCGGUUAAGUAAGUUAGAUGUGAAAGCCCUGGGCUCAACCUAGGAACGGCAUCUAAGACUGCAUAACUAGAGUGCUGUAGAGGGUAGUGGAAUUUCCGGUGUAGCGGUGAAAUGCGUAGAUAUCGGAAGGAACACCAGUGGCGAAGGCGGCUACCUGGACAGACACUGACGCUGAGGCGCGAGAGCGUGGGGAGCAAACAGG
RNAcentral lists this ribosomal RNA (253 nucleotides) under uncultured bacterium. Its description in RNAcentral is "partial 16S ribosomal RNA". It matches the Rfam family "Bacterial small subunit ribosomal RNA", at positions 524 to 776 of the family's 1533-position model. The record is from RNAcentral.